RNAcentral lists this ribosomal RNA (254 nucleotides) under uncultured bacterium. RNAcentral's name for it is "partial 16S ribosomal RNA". It matches the Rfam family "Bacterial small subunit ribosomal RNA", at positions 524 to 776 of the family's 1533-position model. The record is from RNAcentral.
GACGAACCGUGCGAACGUUAUUCGGAAUCACUGGGCUUAAAGCGCGUGUAGGCGGCUUGGUAAGUCUGCUCUGAAAGCCCGGGGCUCAACCCCGGGAGGCGGGUGGAUACUGUCAAGCUCGAGUCCGGAAGAGGAGUGUGGAAUUCCUGGUGUAGCGGUGGAAUGCGCAGAUAUCAGGAGGAACACCAAUAGCGAAGGCAGCUCGCUGGGACGUUACUGACACUGAGGCGCGAAAGCGUGGGGGAGCGAACAGG